UGGGUGGAUUAGUGGCGAACGGGUGAGUAACACGUGAGUAACCUGCCCUUAACUCUGGGAUAAGCCUGGGAAACUGGGUCUAAUACCGGAUAGGAGCGUCCACCGCAUGGUGGGUGUUGGAAAGAUUUAUCGGUUUUGGAUGGACUCGCGGCCUAUCAGCUUGUUGGUGAGGUAAUGGCUCACCAAGGCGACGACGGGUAGCCGGCCUGAGAGGGUGACCGGCCACACUGGGACUGAGACACGGCCCAGACUCCUACGGGAGGCAGCAGUGGGGAAUAUUGCACAAUGGGCGCAAGCCUGAUGCAGCGACGCCGCGUGAGGGAUGACGGCCUUCGGGUUGUAAACCUCUUUCAGUAGGGAAGAAGCGAAAGUGACGGUACCUGCAGAAGAAGCACCGGCUAACUACGUGCCAGCAGCCGCGGUAAUACGUAGGGUGCGAGCGUUAUCCGGAACUAUUGGGCGUAAAGAGCUCGUAGGCGGUUUGUCGCGUCUGUCGUGAAAGUCCGGGGCUUAACCCCGGAUCUGCGGUGGGUACGGGCAGACUAGAGUGCAGUAGGGGAGACUGGAAUUCCUGGUGUAGCGGUGGAAUGCGCAGAUAUCAGGAGGAACAC
Molecule: ribosomal RNA, 611 nt
Filed under: uncultured Actinomycetes bacterium
Lineage: Bacteria; Bacillati; Actinomycetota; Actinomycetes
Description: bacterial SSU rRNA
Rfam family: Bacterial small subunit ribosomal RNA
Source: RNAcentral